GGUUUUAGUUUGUUCUUUUGUUGGAACAUAUUCUUAUGUUUUCUCAUUUUACUCACUUGGUUUAUUUCUAUAUAUUAGACAAAAUAGCUACCUCUCCCAGUAUUUUUUUUUUGAUAGGCAAGAAAUAGAUUUAUUAAGAUAAGACACUUGUGAGAGAUGCAAGUCACAUCUCCCAGUCUUAAAGAGUGGCCUUGUAUAGAAGAUGCAUCCUUAUUCUUCAACCUUGCCCUAGAUCUUGGUUGUCUCUCAAAUGUGAUUGCCUAAGUAGACUAAUUUAUUCCAGAUAGGUCCCAGUUGUUGAGGGUGUGCCAAGAUCUCUCAGUGUUCCAAAGGGAGGGAUUUCCGUCAGUGGCUAGUUUCAGGCUAAUUGGAAGCCAGACCCUCAGCCAGCCACUUUUAAAGUAUGCAAAUAUAUACAGUCCUGUUGUACUGCAAACAUAAAACCUGGCAACCUUCAGUCCAGGUCUGGAGGUGUCUUGUUGGCAAGCUCCUUUCUGGAAGGUACUUGUGUGCUCUUGCAAGGCCAAGGGAGAGAAUUAAGAUGAUGUCUCUUGGCCUGUAUUCCCUGAGAGCAUCUCUGUAGCCUCUAGGUGUGUUGUAAACCCCUCAGACUGAAGCUCCAGGACAAGUCAGUAGGUUUUUGUCUCAGGAAGACUGGGGUAUGUUUCAGUUUGCUGUCUAGGCAGUGCCCUGGGGGUGGUAGCCUGUCAAGAACUGUUUCUCUGAAUGUUGAGUCCUGUGGGGCCCAGAAAUGAAAGCUCCUUGGCCACUAGAGCCAGGUGCUCAAGGGGCAUCUCUUGUGUGGGCCACGUGCACCUACCAGCUCUAUCUAGGCAGCAGGAGAACAUGUGUGUUCUGGCUUUAGCAUGGCAGCUCGAGAACACUGGGCAGGUUUCAGUGAUGGGGGAGGAGGUAGCACAGGGGCAGGACAUGCUUGUGGGCUUUAUCAGGGCAGUGGGAGAGUGCUGUGACUUUAUGUACUGGCCAGCACUAGUGAGGUAGAGGGAGAGCACAAAAAUAGUGCCUAACAGCACCUCCAUUUCCCUAGAGAGUCUCAGCAGUUUCCUGUCCCUCCAGCAGAUGUUUUGGGAUUAGGAAAGGAAUUUCCUUCGUGUGUAGUCUAGGUGGCUUUCAAACUGCUGCUUUUGCUCUGCGUCCCAGGGUGAGUCUGUGUGCCAGCCUUUUAAGAGUAGAAUCUUGGUUCCCUCUAGUCCUUUGGGUCUCUUGGAUGUAUGCCCCAAUGACUUUUUAAGCCCAGCAUUUCUAGGGCUUGUCUCUCUGGUGCAUAUUCCAAAUGUUAGAGAAGCAAUGUGGGACAUGAACCCCUUGCUCCGCAGAGAGAAUCUUUGUAUUUGUGAGAUCCCUUCUAUCAUGGGGCUCCACAGGGGGUAGGGUUUUGGGUGAGAACAUGGUAGGCCUCUCCUACCCAUCUACAUGUGGCUGUUAUAUCCUUUGUUAUAGAGGAGAUGUUCAGUGAGUUUUCAGGUCUUUUUCAGAGGGAAUUGUUCCAUAUGUAGCUGUAGAUUUGGUUGUGUCCACAGGGGAGGUGAGUUUCAGAUCUUCCUGUGCCACCAUUUUGAACUGCCUCCCCUUUGAAGAUUUUUUUUUGAACUACUUAAUUGUUAUUUUUUCCCCUCAAUCAGUGGGGGAAAUCUAUAAAUCUUUACCUAAGAGUAAAUAUGAUUGAAAAUGUUUCUCCAGUGUCAUAUCUAAAAAACAAAACAAAACAAAAAAUAAAGUUGAUGUUGACCGACCCUUCCAGGAUCUGAGUCCUGUUUCCCCUUCGGCCCCAUUUCUCCUUUCCUUCCUCAUGUCCCAUGCUUGGCUACACUGAGCUGGAUUUUCUUAAUAUGGCAUGUUGUUUUAUAGCUCUUACCCUCAACUCUUUUACUGCAUGAGAUAACAGUCUUCCCUCUAUCUGCAUUUUAAAUGCCUUCUAAUUUUCAAAGAUACAUCCUACUUCUGUUCUGAACAGAGCCUUUCCUGAUUUCCCUAUAGAAAAUUGAUGCGGUGCCUACCAUGUACUACAAAUGCCCAUAAAACAAGUUUUAUAUAGAUAUUGAAUAAAUAGUGACAAAGAAUGAACCAGUGAAAAGCAAAGAGCCAAAAAGAUUCCUUAACUCUUAAACCAGUGAUGCAGGACCAGAAAAUCACAAGCAAGAAUAAUUUUGCGUAUGUUUAUGUCCUGCUUGUCUAUUGAAAUCUCUUUGGUGCAAAGCCCAUGGCUUACGCAUCUUUGUGUAUCCAGUGUACUCUCCAGUGACAAUUUUGAUCAUCUACUUGAUAUACCGUUUUUAGAGGUUAAAUGAUCAAGUCAUGAUUUCAUUGAAAAACAUUACUUAAUUGACUUGGCACAUUCAUCAUGACCUUAGGUUGCCUUUGUUGAAUAUCUGAGAUUUAUUUUUAUGUAGAGGUUCUUCAUAAAUUUUCUUCAGAUGUCAGAAUUAAGAGUAUAGACACAUUUGCUCUUGAAUGUUUAUCCUAUUCUUUACUGAUGAUCAAUUUAGAAAGUGUCUCUUCAAGCAAGAAUAGACAAAGCAAAUGAUCUCUUUCUCCCAUAUGAGCUUUUGAAUUUCUCUUUUCCCUAAAAUGAAAACUGCUUCUUGCCAAUAGAAGAUAUUUUAUAGUCAUCUUAAAAAUGAAUUUUCUUUUAUCAAACCACUAACCUUUACAUAUGCAUUGUAUUCUCUUAUGUGGAACUGUGUGAUCAGCUUCAAAAGAUUCUGUUUGGUGGUGAGUAUGUCAGUGGAAGGAUGUCAUUUGUCAUACCUUAGAUGAAUAAAACCCCUUGCUUCUUAUACCAAAUAAGAAAAACCAGCACCACUCUGCCCAAGUAAGAUAAAUAUACCUGGGAUACAUAUCCUUUCCUAUUAAAGAGUUAAGGAAUAUUCUCGGUGUUUUAUUUUUUUAUUAUUUCACAGCUCGCUGUUACUACUUAAUAUUCCUAUAAGAUUGUUUUAUGGGUACUUUGGGAACUGAGCAAAAUUGUAGUUCAGUUCAUGUCUGUCUAUGGUAUUACUCUAACUCCUUUCUGUGAAAUUUUCCUUCUUUCUUACCCUUCACCAAAGUACUUAGUGACCUAAUACACUGAUGAUCCAGUUUUCCAAAUAACUUGCCUACCCUCUUGGGCCAGUGUCCCAGCAACAAAACCAUCCUUCUUUCUCCACCUAAAACACUCACCAGUUGGCAGUCAAACAGAAAAUCAAUUUGAUUAAUUCUGUCUGAGGAGCUCCUGAUCAUUAAUGGCCCAAUGUCUUAUUCUUUGAGGAUGAAAAUGAAUAUUGUACAGCAGGUAAGAACUUCAUGAUGAAUUUGUUAACCAAGGAAGUGACUCUAUAAUUGUGAUAUUUCAACAAUUAUGAGGUGGGAUGUUGGGAUGUUGCACAUCUGGUAGAGUUGUAUACAUUUCUGCAUCUCCCUCCUGUUUGUAAGACUGGUCCUGGUGGUUGUAAAAGCAACCUGAAGAUUUCCAGGCCUAAAGCUGUGUAUUUCUUGUCUUCUGUGGAGGAAUCCAAAUGCUGUUAUGUCAUGGUAAAUACAUUGUGCUUCAUAUAAUAUCAUAGAAAUUAGAAGUAAAAUCAUUUUAGUUUGUUUUAUAAAAACAUUUUUGAUGGAAUAUAGAGAGCAGCAGUAGUAAGAUUAUUAACUUCUCAGUAGUUUGUGGAUAACAUUAUUAUACAUUCUACAUUUUGGUGAAAUCUCUGACCAGAGUAUUUAAAGGUGUGUUUAUUUAAAGAUCCAUGACAUAAAUCAUAUAUUCAAAAAUAGUUUGCUCCAGAUUAUUGUAUGAGGACAAGUCAGUGGAGUAUACAGACUGUGCCUAUUCAUCAAACCAUUUCUUAUGUUAUAAAUAUGGUAAUCAGAAAUAC
Molecule: long non-coding RNA, 3869 nt
Filed under: Sus scrofa (pig)
Lineage: Eukaryota; Metazoa; Chordata; Mammalia; Artiodactyla; Suidae
Description: lncRNA (ENSSSCG00000060066.1)
Source: RNAcentral